This 253-nucleotide ribosomal RNA is filed under the name uncultured bacterium. RNAcentral describes it as "partial 16S ribosomal RNA". It matches the Rfam family "Bacterial small subunit ribosomal RNA", at positions 524 to 776 of the family's 1533-position model. The record is from RNAcentral.
UACAGAGGGGGCAAGCGUUGUUCGGAAUUACUGGGCGUAAAGGGCGCGUAGGCGGCCCGCUAAGUCGAACGUGAAAUCCCCGGGCUCAACCCGGGAACUGCGUCCGAUACUGGUGGGCUCGAAUCCGGUAGAGGGAAGCGGAAUUUCCGGUGUAGCGGUGAAAUGCGUAGAUAUCGGAAGGAACAUCAGUGGCGAAAGCGGCUUCCUGGACCAGUACCGACGUUCAGGCACGAAAGCGUGGGGAGCAAACAGG